RNAcentral lists this long non-coding RNA (284 nucleotides) under Lathyrus oleraceus (garden pea). Its description in RNAcentral is "Pisum sativum (pea) long non-coding RNA (PSAT_LNC018978)". Lineage: Eukaryota; Viridiplantae; Streptophyta; Magnoliopsida; Fabales; Fabaceae. The record is from RNAcentral.
UGGGUUCCUCUGUUGAAUUAAGUUCUUGAGAACUAGCAAGGGAUACAGCUCUGCAUAUGACAUAGGAAUCAGGUCAAAAGAGACCUUCUUCCUUUCAAAGUUCUGCUGAUGAUGAUUUUUAUUGGUAUUUUUGUUGUUGUAGGUGUUUGUUUUUUUGUUGCAGUUGUUGUUAUUGACGUUGAUGUUGUUAUUGUUUUUGUUGAAUUGGUGUUGCUUAUUGAUUAGAAAAUACCGGAAUUACUGAUGACACUUGAUGAUGAUGAUGUUGACGGGGUGGUGGGUUC